Long non-coding RNA from Paramormyrops kingsleyae, 1848 nucleotides. RefSeq lists it as uncharacterized. Lineage: Eukaryota; Metazoa; Chordata; Actinopteri; Osteoglossiformes; Mormyridae. The record is from RefSeq and is a predicted model, not a curated record.
AUCAUAAUAAAUACACGUGUCUGCUCAGGGGAUUUUGACGAGUGGAAACAGAGAUUUAUUGUUCUUGAGACAAUAAAAACGGCAGAGUCCGCUGAGCCAACUUACCAGAAGAGGAGCUUGUGUGCGCCGGGGCCGUCCGCAUCCACUGCCUCCCGCUGGUGCCCCGUCUUCCGCUCUCGGCCCACGGUGCCAGUCGCCUCCCCUCCGUCUUCCCAGCCUAGGUUAAUCAGGCUGCAGCGCUUUCGUUAGGCGAGCUCCGGAGGGCGGCGAAGGGGGGACCGAAGCCAAUGCGCGGCUGUGGCCAGCAGAUAUACAAAAAAGAAACACUUGGGCCCCCCCGCCAACUACGCAGCUUUGGGUAUUUCAGCAAAAAAAAACUGGCAAAAUCGGUCCAAGUUAACACGGCUCUGUUGAAUGAUGGAUUAUUAAAAUAUAUUUCAAAUUUUUAUUACAGUAAACAACAGUUGCUCUUAAUUUAAUGGCAGUGUUUUUAAUGACCGGGCGUAACCAUCGAUUAAGUGCGCGCCUGCGUCAUCACUAGGCGACAAACUCGUAUGAGCAAAAACGUGGGAGCACCUUGGGAAGACAUCACGGUGAUAGUUCGGGUGGUCUGCUGUUUUCAUGCCCGGUACAUCAUAGGUCUGAGAAUAGUAAACGUUAUUCAUUGGCACUUUUAGAUACGUUAAAUCUGUCUAACAUGUGGUUUAGGUCACAUAUCUUAAUUCAUUAGAGUUUUUCAAACAGUACAAACAAGCAUAGUGUCUUGCAGAGUUCUCGGGACCGCUCGACCUGAUCUCGGCCUUGUUUCCGUCUGGAGCCCAUUUUGUCUUGAUAUUGGCUAUAACUGUGGAAAUAUUACAAAACACAUUAUCCGAAUCGAUAUGCAUAUACACUUCUUUCCCCUCACUAAGCGGAAAUGAAUUUUCCUGCGCUGUCCUCUUGUAGCAAAUAUACUUAAGAUGAACUGCAUCUCCCAGCUGCCCCGGCGGUAUAAAACUAUUGGACAGCUUCAGAAGGCGCAGGGGCUGCUGGGAAGAGAUACUGAGCAAGCGGGUCAUUUAAAAAUGAACAUGAAAGAUUUCGGGAUGAGAGUCACUAAGCUAAACUGGUCAGGACACUGUGGAUAUCCUCUUUUAUUUACUGUGGAAAAAAAGGGAAGGAAAAGAAAUGCCUGCACAUUUACAAUAAACAGAUCCAUGUUCCAGGACAUAUGAAAUGAAUCAAGAACAAAUGCAAAAAUCAUUAUUCACUUUGUACUGUUAACUGUACCAAUAAAUGACUUAACAUUUUACUGACAAAAUGACCUAUGCAGGUCUGGGGUUUGUCUUAACAUUUGACUGUAUUGAGGACGGCUCAGCAGCACAAUGGGUAUCAGUGUUGCCUGGGUUGUUGGGUUGAAUCCCACCCACUCUCUGCCUCUGUUUAUUGGGGUGGUGUGUGACUCAGUGGGUUAAGGCAUUAUGCUUGUGUGAGUCACCAGUCCAAAUGGCAGCUAGCAGAGUGACAUCACCGUUGGGCCAUUUGAGCAAGGCCCUUAACCCCUUAAUUGCUGUAGGGACUCUCUCACCGCAGUUUCAACUGUACAUUGUUUUGGGUAAAAGAGUCUGGUAAAAUUGUAAUUCUGUGUGAAGUUUGCACAUUUUCCCUUUGUUGUGUGGCAUGCAGUAAAGUUAACAUGUGUGUCUAAGUUACCUGUGACUGAUAGUGUGCCUGUAUAUAUGUUUCCUCUUAAUGGACGGGCAUCUGUCCUAUCCAGUGUAACCACUGCCUUACGCUCUAUGCCAGUGAUUCCCAAACCAGUCCUUGGGGACCCGCAGACGGCCCACACAUCUGCUGUCUCCUGACUCC